GGAUCCAGACUUUGAUCCUGGCUCAGGAUGAACGCUAGCUACAGGCUUAACACAUGCAAGUCGAGGGGAAACGACAUCGAAAGCUUGCUUUUGAUGGGCGUCGACCGGCGCACGGGUGAGUAACGCGUAUCCAACCUGCCCACCACUUGGGGAUAACCUUGCGAAAGUAAGACUAAUUCCCAAUGACGUCUCUAGAAGACAUCUGAAAGAGAUUAAAGAUUUAUCGGUGAUGGAUGGGGAUGCGUCUGAUUAGCUUGUUGGCGGGGUAACGGCCCACCAAGGCAACGAUCAGUAGGGGUUCUGAGAGGAAGGUCCCCCACAUUGGAACCGAGACACGGUCCAAACUCCUACGGGAGGCAGCAGUGAGGAAUAUUGGUCAAUGGACGAGAGUCUGAACCAGCCAAGUAGCGUGCAGGAUGACGGCCCUAUGGGUUGUAAACUGCUUUUAUAAGGGAAUAAAGUGAGUCUCGUGAGACUUUUUGCAUGUACCUUAUGAAUAAGGACCGGCUUAUUCCGUGCCAGCAGCCGCGGUAAUACGGAAGGUCCGGGCGUUAUCCGGAUUUAUUGGGCUUAAAGGGAGCGUAGGCCGGAGAUUGAGCGUGUUGUGAAAUGUAGACGCUCAACGUCUGCACUGCAGCGCGAACUGGUUUCCUUGAGUACGCACAAAGUGGGCGGAAUUCGUGGUGUAGCGGUGAAAUGCUUAGAUAUCACGAAGAACUCCGAUUGCGAAGGCAGCCCACUGGGAGCGCAACUGACGCUGAAGCUCGAAAGUGCGGGUAUCGAACAGGAUUAGAUACCCUGGUAGUCCGCACGGUAAACGAUGGAUGCCCGCUGUUGGUCUGAAUAGGUCAGCGGCCAAGCGAAAGCAUUAAGCAUCCCACCUGGGGAGUACGCCGGCAACGGUGAAACUCAAAUGAAUUGACGG
Molecule: ribosomal RNA, 925 nt
Filed under: uncultured bacterium
Lineage: Bacteria
Description: bacterial SSU rRNA
Rfam family: Bacterial small subunit ribosomal RNA
Source: RNAcentral